UUCAUUCAAAUAUCUGCCCUAUCAACUUUCGAUGGUAGGAUAGAGGCUACCAUGGUUUUGACGGGUAACGGGGAAUAAGGGUUCGAUUCCGGAGAGGGAGCCUGAGAAACGGUUACCACAUCCACGGAAGGCAGCAGGCGCGCAAAAUUACCCAAUCCCGACACGGGGAGGUAGUGACAAUAAAUAACAAUAUAGGGCCCUUUUGGGUCUUAUAAUUGGAAUGAGUACAAUUUAAAUCCGUUAACGAGGAACAAUUGGAGGGCAAGUCUGGUGCCAGAGCCGGGUAAUUCCAGCUCCAAUAGCGUAUAUUAAAGUUGUUGCAGUUAACAAAGCUCGUAGUUGAACUUCAGACCUGACCGGGCGGUCCGCCUAACGGUGUGUACUGUCUGGCCGGGCCUUAGCUCUUGGUGAGCCGGCAUGCCCUUCACUGGGUGUGUCGGGGAACCAGGGACCUUUACCUUGAGACAAUUAGGAGUGUUCAAGCAGGCUUAAGCCGGAAUACCAUUAGCAUGGAAUAAUAAA
Molecule: ribosomal RNA, 522 nt
Filed under: uncultured fungus
Lineage: Eukaryota; Fungi
Description: SSU rRNA
Rfam family: Eukaryotic small subunit ribosomal RNA
Source: RNAcentral